Callithrix jacchus (white-tufted-ear marmoset) is the source of this 527-nucleotide long non-coding RNA. RefSeq lists it as uncharacterized. The record is from RefSeq and is a predicted model, not a curated record. Lineage: Eukaryota; Metazoa; Chordata; Mammalia; Primates; Cebidae.
UUGUGCCAGGUCUAAGGACAGCACUGGGCUUUUUCAUUCCGGACACAUGUUCCAGACAUUUCAUUUCAGACAUACAUACAGCAAGACUGGAUUUCCUAAGCUCUUUGGACCAUGAGAUUGAGUUAUGGCUAGUGAAUGUUGGCUACUUCUUGCCCUGACCCAUGAAAAUCUCCCACAGAAUUCUUUGUACUCUAUUUUUUCCCCAUUCACUGGAUAAAUGGAGAAGAUUCUAAAACCCUAGAGGAGAAUAGGAUCACAGAUGGAACAAGCUUCAGUCCCUGAAGCUUGGAGCAGAGCCUCCAUUCAACUUCCACCACCAAUUGGAUUUUACAAGAAAGACACACAAAGAAACACUGUGAAAAUCCUCUUGACUGAUGGAGAGAUGAGACAUCCUCCCCGCCAACCAGGAAGAUUCUAAUGGAGGAGACACUCAGUCCUCAGACAGGGACUGCUCCUUCAGUGUGGCUGCCCAGAGACGACAACGUGGAACACAGUUGAGGCUGACCUGUUACGAUCAUUAACAUGAG